Small nucleolar RNA from Cyclopterus lumpus (lumpfish), 107 nucleotides. The record is from Ensembl. NCBI's taxonomy places the organism in Eukaryota, Metazoa, Chordata, Actinopteri, Perciformes, Cyclopteridae.
AGCGUGGUUGAUGAAAACAUGACCUUAGGUAUGUCUUUUUGAACCGUCUUGGUUCAAAGCUCUAGACUUACCAAUGUUAGGACUGGUCAUAGUUACGCUGACACGCU